RNAcentral lists this ribosomal RNA (453 nucleotides) under uncultured bacterium. RNAcentral's name for it is "bacterial SSU rRNA". It matches the Rfam family "Bacterial small subunit ribosomal RNA", at positions 29 to 524 of the family's 1533-position model. The record is from RNAcentral.
AGCGAACGCUGGCGGCAGGCUUAACACAUGCAAGUCGAGCGGGCGUAGCAAUACGUCAGCGGCAGACGGGUGAGUAACGCGUGGGAACGUACCUUUUGGUUCGGAACAACACAGGGAAACUUGUGCUAAUACCGGAUAAGCCCUUACGGGGAAAGAUUUAUCGCCGAAAGAUCGGCCCGCGUCUGAUUAGCUAGUUGGUGAGGUAACGGCUCACCAAGGCGACGAUCAGUAGCUGGUCUGAGAGGAUGAUCAGCCACAUUGGGACUGAGACACGGCCCAAACUCCUACGGGAGGCAGCAGUGGGGAAUAUUGGACAAUGGGGGGCAACCCUGAUCCAGCCAUGCCGCGUGAGUGAUGAAGGCCCUAGGGUUGUAAAGCUCUUUUGUGCGGGAAGAUAAUGACGGUACCGCAAGAAUAAGCCCCGGCUAACUUCGUGCCAGCAGCCGCGGUAAU